This 779-nucleotide ribosomal RNA is filed under the name Micrococcineae bacterium STEP_sed_336. RNAcentral's name for it is "bacterial SSU rRNA". It matches the Rfam family "Bacterial small subunit ribosomal RNA", at positions 60 to 850 of the family's 1533-position model. The record is from RNAcentral. Lineage: Bacteria; Bacillati; Actinomycetota; Actinomycetes; Micrococcales.
AGUCGAACGGUGAAGCAGAGCUUGCUCUGUGGAUCAGUGGCGAACGGGUGAGUAACACGUGAGCAAUCUGCCCCUGACUCUGGGAUAACAGUUGGAAACAGCUGCUAAUACCGGAUACGAGCUGAGAAGGCAUCUUCAUCAGCUGGAAAGAAUUUCGGUCAGGGAUGAGCUCGCGGCCUAUCAGCUUGUUGGUGAGGUAAUGGCUCACCAAGGCGUCGACGGGUAGCCGGCCUGAGAGGGUGACCGGCCACACUGGGACUGAGACACGGCCCAGACUCCUACGGGAGGCAGCAGUGGGGAAUAUUGCACAAUGGGCGCAAGCCUGAUGCAGCAACGCCGCGUGAGGGACGACGGCCUUCGGGUUGUAAACCUCUUUUAGCAGGGAAGAAGCGAAAGUGACGGUACCUGCAGAAAAAGCACCGGCUAACUACGUGCCAGCAGCCGCGGUAAUACGUAGGGUGCAAGCGUUAUCCGGAAUUAUUGGGCGUAAAGAGCUCGUAGGCGGUUUGUCACGUCUGCUGUGAAAUCCCGAGGCUCAACCUCGGGUCUGCAGUGGGUACGGGCAGACUAGAGUGCGGUAGGGGAGAUUGGAAUUCCUGGUGUAGCGGUGGAAUGCGCAGAUAUCAGGAGGAACACCGAUGGCGAAGGCAGAUCUCUGGGCCGUUACUGACGCUGAGGAGCGAAAGGGUGGGGAGCAAACAGGCUUAGAUACCCUGGUAGUCCACCCCGUAAACGUUGGGAACUAGUUGUGGGGACCAUUCCACGGUCUCCGUGACGCA